Triticum aestivum (bread wheat) is the source of this 1338-nucleotide long non-coding RNA. RefSeq lists it as uncharacterized. The transcript has 2 exons. The record is from RefSeq and is a predicted model, not a curated record. NCBI's taxonomy places the organism in Eukaryota, Viridiplantae, Streptophyta, Magnoliopsida, Poales, Poaceae.
AGUGAAAACUGCCGAAGAGAUAAGGUUCUCUUUUUUUUCUCGUGCAGUCCCUGAUAACCGCUACCGCCGGGAGACGCUCGCACUGUGCGCCGCCGUGCCAUGCGCUAGCAGCGCCGCAUCGCCAGUAUAUACGGAACCGCUCUGUCGACGCCGCAGAGGGUACCGCGCUGGAGGGCCAGGCCACGUCGCGCGCGCCUGAGGGCAUCGCUAUCUGGCCGUCCCAUCUCCUUCACGGGAGGGGCCGUGGCCCCGAGCAGCCACGCCGGAGGGCGCCGCUCGUCGGGGAGUUGAAGCCCUACAUCCGCGCCAUGGUCCACUGCUCCGCGCCUCUCUACAGAUCGAGGGUGCAGCGGCGUGUGCCAUAAGCCGUGGUCGCGGGCACCGCCAUGCGCAGGUUCCGUCGAUUGGAGCCGCGCCGAUGGGAGCGUCGUCGUGCCUAGCGUUGGAGGGACGAGAUGCAUCACCAGGCUGGGUGCCGCGCGCCGGAGGGCGCUGCCCCGCAGGGAGCCGCCUCCGACGUCGUGCGCCAAGGCGACGCCGACCGCUGCCGUUGGCAGUGGACUCGAGCACCAGGCAUGGGGCCUCGCCCGGUUCUUCUUCCCCUUUGGAUUUUCCUCGUUCGAGUUGAAAAUCACUGGAGUUGCUGGGGGGCGUCGUGGCAUGGAGUCGAGGUGGAGGGCCGGUCGCAGGCACUGCCGUUGAUGCGGGGCUGCGCGCCGCACCGGGAUUGGUCAUGGCCGUGGCCGCCCCCGAGUAAGGCGGGCCCCGCGCGUGGGAAGGGCCUCGCCGGGGGUAGCGACGGGAUCACGGGACCAAGGGCAUCGCUGUGGAGGACUGGCCGAGGCCUGCCGAUCUGCGCCAGAUGCAAGACGAGGGCCGCGUCGUCUGCCGGGGAGCGUCGCUGCUGCUCUUCGAGACGUCGCCGGCCUCGGUCUUCCCCGUUCUGUGUCGCCCCAUGAGGCCGGUAGCCGCUCUGCCGAGAGCGUGCUGAUAACGUGUUGAAAAGAAACGAGAGAGAGAGGAAGACAGAGAAGUAAAAGUGAAUCGUUGUUCUCAUUGAUGAUGGAAUUACACACAUAUAUAUAGCCCUUAAAAGGGUGCGUCCGAAGGAACACGAGACAACCGCCUCGAUUAGAAAAAGCAGGAAUUAAUAGGAUUAAUUAAAUCCUAACAGGAUCUAGAGAAGUUGGUCGUCAUGGUUUGUUUUGGGUCGGGCUGCUUCCCUAGGAGGCAAGUUUUGCCAUGUUAUUUUCUCUGUUUUGGGCCGGGCAUUACUUGUCCCUCUGCUACUGGCACCAUGCUCACACCUUCUGCGUUCGUGGCAUGCGUUUUGUAUCA